GGCUCGGAGACAGGUGCUGCAUGGCUGUCGUCAGCUCGUGUCGUGAGAUGUUGGGUUAAGUCCCGCAACGAGCGCAACCCUUGUCUUUAAUUGCCAUCAUUGAGUUGGGCACUUUAAAGAGACUGCCGGUGUUAAACCGGAGGAAGGUGGGGAUGACGUCAAGUCCUCAUGGCCUUUAUGCCCAGGGCUACACACGUGCUACAAUGGGUGGUACAAAGAGAGGCAAGCUCGCGAGAGUAAGCAAAUCUCAAAAAGCCAUCCUCAGUUCGGAUUGGAGUCUGCAACUCGACCCCAUGAAGUCGGAAUCGCUAGUAAUCGCGGAUCAGCAUGCCCGCGGUCCGAAUACGUUCCCGGGCCUU
This 359-nucleotide ribosomal RNA is filed under the name uncultured Syntrophus sp. RNAcentral's name for it is "bacterial SSU rRNA". It matches the Rfam family "Bacterial small subunit ribosomal RNA", at positions 1025 to 1382 of the family's 1533-position model. The record is from RNAcentral. Lineage: Bacteria; Pseudomonadati; Thermodesulfobacteriota; Syntrophia; Syntrophales; Syntrophaceae.